ACGGGGACUUCACGGUCUGUGAGCGCUGACAAAUAUACCUUGAGUCUCCAGAUAGCGGGUCCAAUAGCUAAAAUCUCGAUCAACCCGAUUCGGUACCCAAAUCUGCACAGAAAGUGCAGAGUGCAGUAUCAGUACAAUCGACCCCAUGUACUGGUAAGUGUCGAGCCUAACCUCGACGAAGUAGUAACGGCAAGGCACCUACAAAUCAACCUGUGCAGUUUAACAAUGUAUAUACAAAUAAAGUAAUGAAGAAUUAGACAGGAGAUAUCAGGGGGGGACAUGAUGGGGGAAAUACGAGAUAAAGAAGUACAACAAAAUGAUAACUGAAAUAACCAAUAUAUUAUGAAUCAACAGGAACACGAAUACAGUAAAGGAAAAACUCACGGCAUCACCCUUCAUGCUUUUACUCUCAACCUCACCAUAAAAAUCAAUAGAAACAGCACAACAUCACCCUUCGUGCAUUAACUCUCAUAUCAUGGUACGACAUCACCCUUCGUGCAUUAACACUCAUAAUAUGGCACGACAUCACCCUUCGUGAUUUUACACUCACAAUAUGGCACGGCAUCACCCUUCGUGCAUUAACACUCACAAUAUGGCACGAUAUCACUCUCCGUGCAUUAACAAUCUCCCUUACCAUAAUGCAAAGCAUAAAUAACAACAGGGAGAUAGAAUAACAAGUACAAGCAUUACUUCAACAUUUGGUUCCAUAAUAUCAAUAUAAACUUUGAAAUAAUUUCUCAAUUAUCACGAGAAAAUCCGUAAACAUGAUAAGAACGACCAAUUUAACAACUCUAGUAUAAAUAUGUAGCAAUUAGGCAUAAGAAAAAGACAAUAUAAGAAAAACAGAAGAAACAGGGAAAACAGAUAAAUUGGCGGCGCAUAAGUACUCAUCACCUCACAUAUACGCCGCUCACAUGAAUUUCACAUAACAAAUAGUCUAGGGUUCCUAAUUCCCUCAAGUCAGGGUUAGACACAAUACUUACCUCGCUCUGAAGGCCACUUAUUUCUCAAUCACAUCUUUUCCUCUAGAAUUCACCUCCAAACCACUCGUAUCUAUUCAAAAAUGACUCAAUAAUAUCAAAUAUUGCUGAAAGAGUCAAUUAUAUUGCAUAAAUUAAAUUUCCCAAAUUUUCCUCCAAAAAGUUAAAAAUCGACUCGAGCCCACUUCGUCAAAACACGAGGUUCGGACCAAAAUCCAUUUACACAUUCACCCCCUAGCCCGGAUAUAUAAUUGGUUUUGGAAUCCGACCUCAAAUUGAGGUCUAAAUCCCCAAAUUUUCAAAAUUCCUAGUUUCUACCCUAACCCCUAAUUCAACCAUGAAAACUCUAGAAUUUAGGUUGAUAAUUCAUAAAAUGUAAUAGGUAAUUGAAAUAAAAUGGUUUAGAAUCACUUACCAACACUUUGGGGAAGAAAACAACUCUGGAAAAUCGCCUCUAGUCCGUUUGUUUUGUGAAAAGUGGGAAAAAUGGCUUAAUCCCGUGUUGGAUUCUGUUUUAAGUGCUGGGCAAUAGUGUGCAUCACGUUCGCAAGGCCACUGUCACGUUUGCGAAGAGCAUUGGAUGCCAAGCCUUCGCGUUCGCGAGACAGUGUUCCUAUUCGUAUAGACUACCCCCUGGCCUUCGCGUUCGCGAUGAAAUAAAGGCUGACUCCCCCAGUGCCUAACACUACGCGUUCGCGAUGAGCUUGUCACGUUCGCGAAGGGUAAUGCCACAUCGCUUCGAAUUCACGACCAAGCCCUCGCGUUCGCGAAGAAGGACAUGCCAGAAAACCAGAUUUUCCAAAGUCCAAAACAUCCUGUGGCUUAUCCGAAACUCACCAGAGCCCUCGGGGCUCCAAACCAAACAUGCACACAAGUCUAAAAAUAUCAUACGAACUUGUUCGCGCGAUCAAAUCGCCAAAAUAACAGCUAAAACUAUGAAUUUAGCACCAAAUCAAAUGAAAUUCUCAAGAACACUUUAAAAUUCGUAUCUUUUCAACUGGACGUCCGAAUCACGUCAAAUCAACUUCGUUUCUCACCAAAUUUCACAGACAAGCCUUAAAUAUUAUAAUGAACCUGCACCGGGCUCCGGAACCAAAAUACGGACCCGGUACUAACAAUGCCAAACAUCACUCAAUUCUUAAAAAUAAAUAAUUUUAGACUUUUAAAUUUUAUCAAAAAUUCAUAACUCGAUCUAGGGACCUCCGAAUUUGAUUCCGGGCAUACGCCCAGGUCCCAUAAUUCAAUACGGACCCACCAGGAUCGUCAAAAUAUGGAUCUGAGCCCGUUUACCAAAUAGUUUGACCGAAUUUAACUAAAAUCAACUUUUAAGGCAUAGAUUUUUAUUUUUAUCAGUUUUUCACAUAAAAGUUUUCUGGAAACACGCCCGAAUUGUGCACACAAAUCGAGGAGAUUAAAAAUGAGAUUUUUAAGGCUUAAAAGUGCAGAUUCGAGUUCUAAAACAUAAGAUGACCUUUUGGGUCAUCACACAUAAAUCCAAAUCUCUUUUCGUUUUUUAGCUUAAACAAACAAAAACGUCAUAUCUCAAUCUACUAAUGAAACUAGACAAGCUUAAUUCUAAUAAAUAAUUCAUAUCAAUAAAUAAAUAACUGAAACAUGACAAAGCUCAUGAGAGCUCAAUAGAUGACGUGAAGAUUCAAAAAUUAUUUGCUAAGAAAAACUUUUAUAUUUGAAGGAUGAGUGCAAAAAAGAUGUAAUAGGUGAGUAAUAGACCUUUGGUAUAAAUCAACUAGAUUGGAAUUACAAGAGGUUAAACAACUCGACAACUCUUGACCGGAGCUUUCGCCGGUGAACCCGGACGGAAUCGGCAACUCGAGACCUCAACGGAAACCUCAACCUCCACUUAGAUGCCACUGUUUACGUUCAAAACGGGGAUGUUCAGAGGGUGUGCUUAGCUGGGAAGAAGGCCAUUUUUGGGUGGUUUUGGAGUGUAGAUGAAAGCUGGGUUUAGAGGUCCUUUUUCUUAGUGGUUAGUGGCUAAUUUUAAUGGAGAUUUACAAGAGUUUUGGGGCUGGUUUUAGCUCUAAUUUUGGCGGGGGGUUUGAUGGUGUUUAUUGGCUUAAACAGGGCGACACUUUGGAGCUGGUUUAGGAGCUUUAUGUGAUGGUGUUAAUGGAAGCUUGUUGAUGGAGUUUGGUGGAGGAAAAAGGAGCUUUUGUCUGUUGCUUGAUAAUGGAGAAGCAGACCAAAAAGAUGAUGACAAUUUUUUCGGCGCUCGUCCCCUCUUUUUCUUUCUUUUUUUUGGGGGGAGGGGUUCGUGAGUUCUUUUGAAGGAGGGAAUAUGUGGGGGGUUGUGAGUAGGGAAAGCAUUGGGGAAAAGCAUGGGGGACAAGGGAAAGUGAAAUGGGGACAAAGUGUGGGGGGACAAAGAGUGGGGGCAAGGGAAAGUGGAGUAAAGACACGCGUGGGAAGAUGGGAGCAGGAAAGAUGGAGUGAGAAUUAAGGUAUUGAUGAGAUGAGUGGGAAAAAUUCAAGCACAGUCAAAAAUUAGGUGCUCACAGCAUGCCCUUCUUUGCUUGGAAACAUGAAGAGUUUUCAAGCAAGAAAAGAUGAGCGAUAUGACUAAUAUUUGGCCAUACCAUUAUUCAAAAGGGAAGAGAUAAGAGAAAAAUGUGUGACCGAAUCCUGGUUAUGGACAACCUACAUAUCCCAGGUUAUAAGGAAAUUAGACUUGGUGUAGUUCAAGGAAAAGGAUGGAAUGAUGAGUUGGAGAGUAAAGUGAGGUUCCGUCGAGGCUCUGGUCUGUAGUCCAGUUAUUACAUCAAAAAUCAAAAAGAAACUAAACAAACCUAUCAGCUAUGAGUUACAAGAUUCCUAUCUAUAAGUCUUAUAAAACUUGAUCUUGAAUCUUGACUGGUUCUUCACAUAGAUUCUGAUCUGAACCUUGAUGCUUGCUAGCUGUGGGUGCUAGUUCAUUCUUCUAUGACUUCUUCUAAUCAAAAUGAUAAAUGCAAUGCUCGUGACUUCAGUCGUCUUGAGCAGUCCAUAUCCUUUCCAUCUGCUUCUGUAUUGGGAUUCACUUUUCUCUCUUUUUAUUCAUUUAUUUUGGACUAAGACCUUUUCUUUUGUUCAUCACUAACCCUGUGCUUCGAGGUAAAACCUGCUCAGGCAUCACAACAAAUAAACGAACAGAAUUUUUCUGCCCCAAUUUUCACUAGGAAAAUUUCGUGAGUUAUUGUAACAGAAUUCUAAACUACUUCUUUAUUGAAAGAAAUAAAAGAUCGGGAAUGGUGUACCCUGAAAAGGUCAUGAUGUUUUUUUUGGGAUAGUUUUCCUUUAUUGUCCUAAAUAAUGUCUCAACUAAGGAUUGUUGUACCUUAUGUUGGGAAAAUGUGGCCAAAGAAUAGGAUACCCUAUAUUGGCAAUAAUAUCAGGGAGUGAUAUAUCUUGCAUUUAAGAUCAAAUAAACUAGGGAGUGGUGUACCCUAUGUUGGAGAACACAGCUAAGGAUUAGUGUACCAUAUACUGGUAAGGAGAUCAGGAAUUGGUGUACCCUAUACUGGUAAGGAAAUGUAAUCAGGGGAUGGUGCCUUGUAUUACUGAGAAGGAAAUGUAAUCAGGGGAAGGUGCCCUGCAUUACUGAAAAGGAAAUGUAACCAAGCGUAACCAGGGGAUGGUGCCCAUGUAUUACUGAAAAGGAAAUGUAANNNNNNNNNNNNNNNNNNNNNNNNNNNNNNNNNNNNNNNNNNNNNNNNNNNNNNNNNNNNNNNNNNNNNNNNNNNNNNNNNNNNNNNNNNNNNNNNNNNNNNNNNNNNNNNNNNNNNNNNNNNNNNNNNNNNNNNNNNNNNNNNNNNNNNNNNNNNNNNNNNNNNNNNNNNNNNNNNNNNNNNNNNNNNNNNNNNNNNNNNNNNNNNNNNNNNNNNNNNNNNNNNNNNNNNNNNNNNNNNNNNNNNNNNNNNNNNNNNNNNNNNNNNNNNNNNNNNNNNNNNNNNNNNNNNNNNNNNNNNNNNNNNNNNAAAGNAAAUGUAACCAGGGGUUGGCGUCUUGUAUUACUGAAAAGGAAAUAUAACCAGGGGUUGGCACCCUGUAUUACUGAAAAGGAAAUGUAACCAGGGGUUAGCGCCCUGUAUUACUGAAAAGAUGCUGAAUCCCCCUAAGCGAAAAGGUUCUACUUGGGUUUAAGAUAAGUAAAACAUUGUGAGCGAAGAGUACUUCUACCCGAAAAUAUGAGCUGAAUCCCACUAGGCGAGAAGGUUCUACCUGAGUUAAGCUAUUAAAAACAUCAUGAGUGAAAAGUACUUCUACCCGGAACUAGGAGUUGGAUCACCCUAGGCGAUAAGGUUCUACCUAGGUUAAGCUACGAAAAACAUCCUGAGAAAAAGUACUUCUACCCGGAACUAGGAGCUGGAUCACCCUAGGCGAUAAUGUUCUACCUGGGUUAAGCUACGAAAAACAAGCCUGGGCGAAAAGUACUUCUUCCCAGAAAUAUGAGCUGGAUCCCCCUAGGUGAAAAGGUUCUACCUGGGUUAAUCUACGUAAAGCAAGUGUAGGCGAAGAGUACUUCUACUCAGAAAUAUGAGCUGGAUCCCCCCAGGCGAAAAGGUUCUACCUGGGUUAAACUACAAAAAUGAGAGGUAUGGACAAUAGUGAUGCAUUCUGAAAAUAAAAUAAAAUGGAGAUUUUGAGGAACUUACCUUUGGUGAUAUUCGUCCUUUGAGAAUCGCCAUUCUGCACCACUUUGUUCCUAUUUAAAAGAAAGAAAAAAAAAUUGUGAGUUUUCAAAGAGGUGGUUGGUUUGCGGCCUUGUUGCCCUAAGUAGCUUGAAGUCACGACCACUGUUGUAGAAGGACCGAUUCUGCCAGUAUUGAACUGAGAUGCUUGGAUACUCUGCAUGGCUUCCUAGAUACCUUGGCUCUCCGAUGUUGCCCCCGACUGUUUCAUAUCCGGAUGUCCAUGGUACCGCUAACCCUUGUCCCUAGGGCAAGGUAAAUUUCCUUUAAAAUUAAACUUAGUUGUCUUUCACAUUGCACCAGCUCGUGUCUAUAGUGCUUAUCAACUUUUCCCAUGAAGCAAGUCUUGCUUAGGCAAACUUUCCAGUUUCUUAGAGAUGCUUUGUUCGUCUUAACAAAAGAGAUCACAGAUGGAUUCAUUCCUUCAUCAAUGCCGUAUAUGCCCCAAAUUAUGAUUGAUAUUACAAGGAAACUAUAGUCAGCUUUGCAGCCAUUUCUUUUCUUUGCUUUGAUGCAAGAUUAGACUGAAAAAGGACACAAAGAAAAAUUAUGGGUUAAAAUAGAAAAGCAAUUGAAAGUGAAAAAAGGAAUUGUGUCUAAACAAAAGGUGCCCAUUUCAGGGGAGGGGAAUAUGGGGACUUAUCUGGAGGUAUGUGCCGACUUCAAUGAAUCAUGACAUGCAUUUUGGAUUGGACGCUUGAUCCGUCUGAGCUGUCUAAUUCUCAAAAUCCAUUGCAAAUGUUUAUCUUGAAACUAUCUUGGUUGUGCUCAUGAUGGAGCAUCGAAGACCGUCAUUCGGCUAGUAGCGCCCUUUGCGGGUUUUUGCUAAUUGACCUCUCUCAUUUCUCUACUCACCGUCGCCUUAUGGUGCCCAUCUGGGUUUUCACUAUAAGACUCUCAUUUUCAAUUUCUAUGCUCGCCAUCACCCUAUGGUGCCCAUGAGGGUUUUCACCAAUAAGACUCUCUCAUUUUAUUUCUCUCAUUUUUGUUGUAUCAGAUCCAAAUGACUGUAUCCUCCAAUUCUUGGACAUUCUCAUUGAUUGAUCGGAAGGACUUGAAAAUGAUUUGGAUAAAAUGAAUUUGGAUUGAAUUACAACUUUGGGACCUUUCAGGCGAAACCAUUGCCGAACCAUUGUAAUAUUUGCCCUAGUUUUCACUUUUGGGGAAUGUGGAUUUUUGUUUUGGUGUGACUGAACCCCAGGGAGAGGCUGCCUACGUAUCAUUUCGGAAUCAAGUCGAACGUAGUUCAAUGACUCAGAAGAAGUAUUUUUUUUCUUCUUUCUUUUUUUUGUUUUUUUUUGUUUUCCGAUUUUCUUUAUUUUUUACACGGGUUCCAAAAGGAGGGAAAACUAAGAAAAUAAAUAUGGCUUAAAAGGGUUAACAAAAUGGUGACACUUAUUUUGGGUGGUGAGCAAUGAUAGCCUUCGUCACUCGAUAUGAGAAAAUCAUGCUUGAAAGUUUUGUAGUAGAUAUAUAUCAUACAUAAUAUCUUUUGACUGCAUCUGCGUUAAUAAUCGUGUCUGGUACCCGUCCUUCUUCAUCUACCAAGUGUAAGGCCCCUUUUGGUAACACUUUCUUGAUGAUGUAGUGUCCUUGCCAGUUCGGGACAACUUUCCUUUAGCUUCUACCUGGUGUGGAAGGAUGCAUUUCAAAACGAGUUGGCCUACCUCAAAGUGACUUGGACGCAAUUUCUUGUUGUAAGCGUGUGCCAUUCUUUGCUGUUAUAAUUGGCCGAAACAUACUGCUGCCAGCCAUUUUUCAUCAAUCAACAUUAACUGUUCUAAUCGUGUCUUUACCCGUUAUGUAUCCUCAAUCUCUGAUUCCAUAAUGAUCCGGAGAGAGGGAAUUUUGACUUCAGCCGGUAUUAUAGCCUCCUUCCCAUAUACCAUCAGAUAAGGAGUUGCACCAACAGAUGUGCGAGCAAUCGUGCGGUAUCCCAAAAUAGCAAAAGGCAAACUUUCAUGCCAUUGUCAGGAACCUUGGAUCAUCUUUCUAAGAAUCUUAUUAAUGUUCUUGUUUGCCGCUUCAAUGGCUCAAUUGGCUUUAGGUCGGUAAGGGGUAGAAUGACGAUGCACAAUUUUAAAUUGCUCGUGUACUUCCUUUAUCAAAUGACUAUUUAGAUUGGCUGCAUUAUCAGUGAUAAUGGUCUUUGGAAUACCAAAACGGCAUAUGAUGUUGGAAUGAACAAAGUCUACUACUGCUUUCUUGGUGACUGCUUUGAAAGUGACGGUCUCCACCCACUUGGUGAAGUAAUCAAUUGCAACCAUUAUAAAUCUAUGCCCAUUUGAAGCCUUUGGCUCGAUUGGCCCAAUAACAUCCAUUCCCCAAGCAAUGAAAGGCCAAGGAGAGGAUAUGGGAUACAACUUCGAAGGAGGUGAGUGAAUUAGGUCACCAUGAAUCUGGCAUUGGUGACACUUGCGAACAAAAUUGAAGCAAUCUCGCUCCAUAGUAAUCCAAUAAUACCCUGCCCGCAGAAUAUUCUUCGCCAAAACAUAUCCAUUCAUGUGGGGUCCGCAUGCCCCCGAAUGCACUUCAACCAUGAUCCGCUCAGCUUCUGUGGCAUUUAUGCAUCUCAUCAAGUUCAAAUCUGGGGUCCUUAUAGUUCUUUUUUGAUCUCUCUUGGCAUGCUCCGGGUAUUCCCUUGUUUUUAGGAAUCAUUUUAUGUCAUGAUACCAUGGUUCACUAUCUGGUUCUGUCUCAAUAGUAUUACAAUAACCAUGUUGAUUCCGAACUUAGAUUUGUAAUGGAUCAAUAUGAGUGUUGCCUGGAUACGGGAGCAUCGAGGCUAAAGUAGCCAAGGCGUCGGCUAGCUCGUUGUGAAACCUAGGAAUGUACCUGAAUUCGAUGAAUUUGAAUCUUUUUCUCAGGUCUUGUACACAUUGUCUGUAUGGAAUAAGCUUGAUGUCUCUAGUCUCCCAUUCGCCUUGGGCUUGCCGGAUAAGCAAGUCGAAAUCUCUCAUAACCAAUAGUUCAUGCACAUCUAGAUCGAGGGCAAAUUUCAAACCCAUGAUACAAGCUUUGUAUUCUGCCAUAUUAUUAGUAUAGAAGAACUGAAGUCGGGCCGUUGCAGGGUAAUGCUGUCCAAUAGGUGAGACGAGGAUUGACCCGAUCUCAACUCCUUUGAUAUUGACAGCACCAUCAAAAUACAUUUUCCAUACUUGGUUGUCAUCCGGAACUACUUCCUCUAUUGAGUUGACCUCUUUGUUUGGGAAGUAUGUGCUAAGUGGCUUGUAAUCAUCAUCAAUUGGAUUCUCUACCAAAUGAUCUUCCAAAGCCUUUGCUUUCAUUGCGGUGCGAGUGACAUAGACGAUGUCGGCCUACCAGUGGGCAUUAGCUUUUGGAAGAUGUACUUCAAAGGAUCCAUUCUGGAUAUGAGGUAAGUAGUGUAGGCCAAAAUAUAAUGCCUCAGCUUCUGAGCGACCCAAGUCAAGGCACAACAUGUCCUUCCUAAAAGGGUGUACUUAACCUCAUAAUUGGUGAACUUCCUGCUCAAAUAAUAGAUUUCUUGUUCCUUUUUGUCUAUCGCAUCAUGUUGCCCUAGAACGCAUCCAAAGGAAUUAUCCAUCACCGAUAGAUAUAAAAACAAAGGUCUACUAGAUUUAGGUGGGACCAGUACAUGGGGUUUUGAUAGAUAAUCUUUGAUAUUAUCAAAAACUUUUUGGCAAUCGUUUGUCCACUUGAUAGAAACAUCAUUUUCAACAACUUAAAGAUGGGCUCACACGUGUUUGUGAGCUGAGCAGUGAACCUACUGAUGUAGUUCAAUCUCCCGAGCCAACUCAUGACUUCAAUUUUAUUUUUUAGGGGUGGCAGAUCUCGAAUGGACUUUGUCUUAGAUGGAUCCAAUUUGAUGCCUCUCCGGCUGACUAUAAAACUGAGGAGUUUCCCAGAUGGAACCCCAAAUGCACACUUGGUUGGAUUGAGCUUAAGGUCAUACCUUCGAAGCCGUUUGAAGAACUUUUUCAAAUCGCGCACGUGAUCAGUCUGUGUCUUUGAUUUUAUGAUGACAUCAUUGACAUAUACUUCAAUCUCUUUGUGCAUCAUGUCAUGAAAAAUGGUGGUCAUGGCCCUCAUGUAUGUUUUCCCCGCAUUCUUUAAACCAAAUGGCAUGACCCUGUAACAAUAGGUGCCCCAUGGAGUGGUGAAAAUGGUCUUUUCUGCAUCAUCCUCAUCCAUUAGAAUCUGGUGGUAUCCGGCAUGGCAAUCCAUAAAAGAUUGUAUCUCAUGCUUAGCGCAGUUAUCUACUAGUAUGUGGAUGUUUGGUAAAGGAAAAUUAUCCUUUGGACUUGCUUUGUUCAGGUGCCUGUAGUCAACACAGACUCUGGUUUUUCCAUCCUUCUUUGGCACAGGUACAACAUUUUCCACCCAAGUGGUGUAUCGUACGACUCUGGCUACAUUGGCGCUCAUUUGCUUCAUUAUAUACUCUUUGAUUUUAUCACUCAUAUUCAUUUUGAAUUUUCGUUGCUUUUGUUGGACUGGUGGAAAAUCAGGAUAUGUGGAAAGCUUAUGAACCACUAAAUCGGCUCUUAAACCUUGCAUAUCAUCAUAAGACCAAGCAAACACAUCUCUGUACUCAAAUAAAAUUUGAAUCAAGACAUCUCUAGUUUCUUGUUUUGCGUGAAUGCUUAUCUUUGUUUCCCUAAAUUUUUCACGACCUCCGAUAUUAAUUGGCUCAGUUUCGUUGAGGUUGGGCCUAGGCUUGUUUUCAAAUUGUUCCAACUCUCUUUUUAUUUCCUCAACAACCUCAUUUUUAUCAUAUUCGACCUCUUAAUACAUUAUUUCAAAAUUAGACAGCUUUUUAAGAUCUGGGCAUGAAUUCCGCAAGCAUGUCAUGUUAUUAAAGCCGGCAUUAACAAAACUGAAAUGGAAAAUAAAAUGACAAGAAUUAGGAAAAGGAAAAGAUACUAUACUUAAUACGAAAUUGAACUGCAUUUCAUUGAAUUUGAAAGGAUAGAAGGGUUAACAUCAAAAUAAAACAAUCAUACUAAGAUGUUUGGAUUACAACCCUGAAAGUAACCCAAAGUAAAAAAAAAAAUGAAGCUGCAAAAACAAACUACCAAGACUCCUUCCUUGUGGGGAGAGGAGUUGCUUCCCAAUUAUUGAGCACAGUGUCUAGGCCAAUUAGUUGCAUAUCGGCACGACUAGUGCCUUCACCGGCCAUGGAAAAUUUCAUCAAUGUUCGCCUGUGCCAAGGAAUUUUGACCCUCUUUAAGUCGUGGCUUGACAAAAGUGUAGAAAAUGUGAGGGAUAGGUUUCUGCAAGACCCACCCAUGCUUUUUGCGAUGCUUGGCUUUGUCUUCAUCUGCUUGUGUUGGCCUGAAACCUAAACCAAAAGUGCCAUUGUUACUGAACGGAGAAAUGGGUUCCGAAAUUCCUUGCAACGAUGCCCCCAAGACUUUUCCUAGAUCAUAACCUUGUGUCAUCAUAAGUGAAGCCACCAUUACAUAUGUGGCAGAGAGACGAGGAUGCAGAAUGGGCGUUCGUUCCUUAACAUGGUCCACAACAACCACUUCAAAAUCCUGAUAGACAAUAGACUCACAUCCUUCCUUGGCCUCAAUACAAGGGAUUAACAGGUCUUUAUAAAUGGAUGACUCAUGUUCUCCGUGAACAAUAAUUUCUUGCAUGUCGUGUUCAAAUUUGAGCAUCUGAUGCAAAAUGGAUGGCACAGCUAGGGCCGUAUGAAUCCAUGUCCUUCCAAUAAGAAAGUUCUAAGAAGUUUCCAUCUCCCCAAAUGGUAUCUCUCGCUGAACUAUCAAAAGCCCGGAUGCGAACAUUGAUGGGUCAGAUUCUGUCUGUAUUGAUAUUCAUGCUUUGCAAAGUAGAGAGAGGGCAUAUAUCUUCUCUCGAGCCUCCAUCAACCAUGACUCGCUUUACAUAAUGCCCCUCACAUUUGACAAUCAGGUGCAAAGCCUUAUUGUGCCCGUCUCCCUCCUCGGGAUGUUCAUCAUCUGUAAAGGAGAUUAGGUUCACCUAAAAGGACCUGUUGGCCAUCUUCUCUAACUGAUUCACGGUGGUCUUCUCUGAGACAUGUUCCUCGUUCAAGAUUGUGAUUAGUAUACGGGCAUGUUCUUUUGAGUGUAUGAGUAAAUAUAACAGAGAGAUUUGUGCAGGAGUCUUUCUCAACUGGUCAAUGAUUGAGUAAUCCUGAACUUUUAUCUUUUUCAAAAACUCCUCCGCCUCUUCUUCCGUGACCGGUUUCUUUAUUGGCAUUUGUCCUUCCUCAACUCUUCUGGAGAGUAACACCUUCCUGAUCGAGUCAAACCUCCGGUUUCCCCCACUUCUUCAAGGAUUUCCUUGCAUUUGUAGGUUACUAUAAUUUUGUUGUAGUUCCAAGGAAUGGUUUUCGUGUUUGUCACACGGGGUUGUAAGGCAGGCUUGAUUAUGAUCGGCUCUAUUAUACCCUUCGUGCCGUCCUGAUUCUGCUUUGUGAUGGGGUGACAUCAUAGGACAUAUAACUUUGGGCUUGGAAUAUUGGAGAAAACUUCCAACCUCGAGAUUUUUGGGACAAAUAAAGUUGCCUUCUCUGAGCUCUGGGCACCUUUCACAAUCAACGGCACAUCUCGGCUUGGACUUACUUCCGGUUUGGUUCCCUCUUGAAUCGUUCCCACUGUCAUUUUUGCUUGACCAAAUGGCUUGUUUUCUUGAUCUCGGCUAAUCAUUCCCACAAAAUGAACAUCAUUGUGUACUAGCAACGAGUUAUUGGUCACAUUAGGAGGGUCCUUGCCAUUCGUGACUACGAUCAAGUUUUCAAUAAUGAGUCUUUCUAUGGCUCUUUUCAGGGUCCAACAAUCACUAAUGUUAUUCCCUAGAGCACAUGAACGAUAUUCACAUCUAACGUUUGCUUGAAAUCCAUGUGAAUCAGGAUGCAUAUGGUGGGGAGUGAUGGGUCCAAUCACGCCCAUCUACUUUAACUUUUGGAACAGACUAUAGUAUGAUUCAACCAAUGGAGUAAACGUUUCCACCGGCCUCUGCUCUCGACCAUAAUCCUGCCUAGGACGAGCAUUGUAGGGUGCCCGAAAAUUUUGCUGGUGAGGUCGGGGGAAUCUUGGAGCUGGUGCCUAUAUCUGUUGAUUGGGAGGCUGAGCAUAUGAUUGAGCAUUAAAUACUAUAAAUUAUGGCGGGCCCACAGAGUACUAAGGAAUUGGCGGGGGAUAGUAAUGUCGAGGGUAGCUGGAUGGCCCUUGUUGAACUUGCACAUAAGGGUGCGAUGCCCCUCUUUAAACUUCCCUGGAUCCCAAAGUCAUUAUGGACCCUUCAUCUCUCUUCUUUCUAUUUGCCAAACUUCCCGACCCAUUUUGGAUAGCUUGGGUGGUGGAUUUGAGAGCAUCUUGACUUAUAAUUCUGCCAGUCUUGAGGCUAUUUUCGACCAUCUCUCCUAUUUUGAUCGCUUUCGCAAAAGUUCUACCCAUUGCGGACAUCAUGUUCUAAAAGUAUUCAGGAUCUUGAGCUUCCAGAAAAAUAGUGAUCAACUCGUGUUUAUCCAUGGGUGGCUUAACUCUAGCCGUUUGCUCCCUCCACUUGAUUGCAUACUCCCUAAAGCUUUCAGUCGCUUUUUUCUUCAUAUUGGACAUGGAAUUGCGAUCCGGCGCAAUAUCAAUGCUGUAUUGAAAUUGUUUGACGAAGGCCUGGGUCAUGUCGUCCCAGACAUGCUAGUGAGAGAUAUGUUGGUUAAUGAACCAUUCAGAGGCUACCCCCACAAGACUUUCCCCAAAAUAGGCCAUCAUCAAUUCUUCUUUUCCACCUGCACCCCUCAGCUGGUUGCAGUACCUUUUCAAGUGGGCGAUAGGGUCGUCGUGUCUAUCAUUCUUCUCAAAUUUUGGGGUCUUGAACCCUGGUGGCAAAUGGAUGUGAGGGAACAUGCAUAAAUCACUGAACAAAACACUUUUGUGACCACCUAGUCCCUGUAUGUUCUUUAUGUUUUGUUCAAUACUUUUCAUUUUCCUGGCCAUCUCAUCUGGCUCAACCGUCUUGGCAGGCUUUUCAUUUUCCACUGGUGACUCAUAUUGAGAGGUCUGAUUAUAUGGAGCCGAGACCCCAAAAGCCAUAUUUGGAGAGUAGUAUUGGCCAUCAUAAGCAUGAGAUGGUGGCUCGUUGAUUGGCCUCGUCACAGAAUGUGGUGGUGGGAUUAUGUAUACCGGUGUGCCUGACAUGACUAGAGAAGUGUUCCUAACCGGUGUGACUGGAGGUCGCACAUUAUAUGUGCCAGGAGCAGCAUGGAGGCUGUAGUUUGGCACAUACCCUGGUGGUAGAAAGUGAUCGCUCAUAGCAUGGAGUGGUGGUUGAGUAGCCAGGGGUACGGUAGAAGUUCCCUCCGAGGGACCCCGGGGUGGAGGCUAACCAGACACCCAAGCUUGAUAUAUAUCAAAUAAUUACUAUCUCAAUUUUAUUAUUUCUUCCGACUCUUGUUCGACUGACUGGCCCUGGGGGUCGUCACUGACCAGCUCAAUCUCAUCAUCGUUAGCCAUUACUACUAUUCCCUUAGAUCUGGUGAGGUAAUAGUGUGUUGCCAAUUUCACCACAAACCAACCAUCUUAAGAUUACUAUAUAAGAGACAGCAAACGUGUUAGGGUUAAGAAUUUUAUCAAUAUGAAUCACACGUAAUAUGCCAUACUCUUAUUAAUGUCACUAUUUCUAACAUAUUUUUGGAGGCUUCAUGUUUCAUUCCGGCUUAUCAGGUUUCUUCUUAUUGACGCUCUUUUCUUCUUCUCUCUUUUGUUUUCACUCACGGCUCAUUUUGAUCCCUCAUCUUAGAAUCAUUGAAAAAUAUUUUGAUCGAACCUUUUGUGGGUUGCCUAUGUAUCAUGUAGUCAUAUGAAUCAGAUCAUUACGUAGUUCAAGGGCAUGACCAUUUUCAAAUUUUUCUGAAACAAAAAUCUCUUUCAUUGAUUUUCAACUUCUAUUAUUAUUAUUAUUAUUAUUUUUUUCUAUUUUUUUAAUAGAAGACCCCAAAAAACAAAAUUACAAAAAGACGAACAUCUAAACAAGAACAAACUUUUUAGGAUAAAAAAAACAACAAUACUUAACAUACCAAAAGACUCUUACAGACUCGAUGAUAACAAAUGAACAAUCAAAAUGGAAGGCCAAGUAAAAUGAGACUCUGAUCUGUGCGGGAGAAUCCAACAGCAUUAUUGUAGUCAAAUCACUUAUUCCUGUGGCUGACCCUUAACAUCGCGAUAUAUCCUCUCUAGGUCUGCAGAUAUGUGAUGGGCGACGUUCAAUGAUACUUCUGCAAAUCGCUCAGUCGUUAUUCCCCGGUAACUCCUGCAUGCUCGGGAGGUAUAUGUGGCUACCUCGAUGAUUUUUCCCUUAAUGUGUUCCUGAGCCAAAUGCAACUUUUGAUUAUGCUGACCACGGGUCUCAGCUAGAUCUAGCGCAUCAUGCUCGCGCUCCAAGGCCAUAUCUCUCUGGUGCCUAAUUUCUAGUGACUCUCCCUCCAACCGAUUGAUCAUACUUUGGUAGUGAUGUCUUUCUAUUUCAAACUCCGUGAUCUGGCGCUCCUUGCUUGACUCAACUCCCCCUAUCUGAUCCCUCAGACCUCAGAUUAAUGGAGCAAAACCUCUGCGCUCAUGAUCACGGACCACAUUGAACUGGGCUUCUCUUUCUUGUUGUUGUUGAGUUGUAGUGAUCAUUUUUUCCUGUCUAAUUUGAGCUUUGAGUUCUCUCCUCUCUUGUGCCCAAUGAGCCUUUUCCCGCUCGAAAUCAGCCUGUUGUAUGUCCAUGGCUUUUCCCAGAAUGCCCUUAUCUUCUUGUAAAAUGUCAAUACAAGAUUGGUACUCUUGUGCCACUUCCCUUCCGAUUUCUUUAACUCUGGCCUUGAUCUCUUCCUCCCAAUCAAACGCGUUCCGUAUGGCUCUUUCUGGCCUUUGCUCUGGGAUAUCCUGGUUGUGAAACCACUCAAGGUAUGCGAAGCUUACCUCCCCACGUUUACGAUCAACUACCAUCUCGUCCAAGUCGGAACAUCAACCACCCAACCAAACCUUUUGUGUAUAUGACUCCCUUGGAAGUUCCUCUCCCUUGAAUUCCCACAAAAACGGUCGCAUGUCUUCAAUCGGGGGCCUCUUUUGCUCUCUCCCUAGCUGUCGCAUGACACGUAGGGGUGUGUAGGGUUGGAAACCUCUAAAACCCAUGAGUAUAAAGAACAGGCGAUAUGUCGACAUAUGCAUGACCCUAGCAGAAGGGAACUAAUAAUAGUUCUAAGUGAUUUUAUCAACACUCAAUGAACCAAGUAAUGUUCGCCAGGCCCUCACCCCCUCUGGAAGAUUACAACUCGCGGUCCUGUCCGGGUGACAUCCAAUAUAAUUCAACCAAUUAUCAUUGAAAUUUACUACUAUUGGAUGGUGAUAAAGGUACUCUAUGAACCACAUCUGCAGCAUAAUGUUGCAUACCUUGAAGUAAUCUUUACCCUCUUGGCAACGGGUCAAUGCUCGAAAAAUAUCUCCUAGAAUCAUGGGAAGAAUGGUAUGAUCCUUGCUACUUUGAAAAUACGAGACUACCGCAGCCAAUAGAAUUCUGAUGCUCCCACCACGCUCUGGAAAGACCAUGGUACCCAGAAAUGAUAUCAUGAACACGAAGAUUCUCAACUCCCUCCAGACUUCGUAACUCAAUUGGUUGAUGAAUUCUGUGCCCGAGAAGUUCUCAAACCCUUUCUUAUCCCCAAAUCUGUCAUAGAAAUAUUCCAACGGAACCCAACCUUCGUCCAAGCAACCCAUUGGAAUUCGACGGAGGCAUAAUGUUUUCAAAAGGUUGUUCAUACCAACAUUUCUCGGAGCAGCAGGCUUUUUCCCACGAAGGUCUCUCCCCAAUCCGGUAAACCCACCUAAUUCUUCCAAUGUAGGCGUCAUUUCACAAUCUUUGAGCCAGAAGACAUUGUUUUCAAAAGGGGCUCGAUUAAAUCUCUGUCAGGCUUAAUUCCCAUGACGUUUGGGAGGAACCUGAGGUGCUUAAAUACUUGAUUCUGUUCCCAUGUAAAAAAACCAAGCCACCAAUUAUGGAGACUACUCGGGAUUUUAUCUCUGAUCGAGAACAUAGGAGGUGUCUCGUCCCUAACCCUUUUCUCACUGCUUCUUUGUAGAGAAUUCAUGGUGAACCUAAUAAUAAGAAGAAAGGGGGUCAUGACUUACCUAAACUAUAUGCAAAAGACUCAAUUUAUUUUUUAAAAUUAGCCAACACAAAAGGUGAAAUGAUAAAAGUAGGGAAACUGGCUAUUAUUACGAAAAUAACCCUCUGAUACUUCCACGGAAGGCUUAAAGGAUGUACCGGCAAAAACUGCCAAAUAUAGGGACAAAAUGAUAAAAAAAGUAGUCAAAAUAAAUUAAAAGGCUAUUUUUACGAAAAUGGCCCUUCGGUACUCCCGGGGGAGGUUCAAUGGCUGUCUUGGCAAAACGGCCGGAAUACGAGGACAAAAUAGUAAAAGGUUGCCUACGUAUCUCACAUCCGGUGAGAAUCAAACCUGCGUAGUUCGGUGAAAUCGAGUAGUUUUCUCUUUUGAUUUUUAUGAAAAUUAAUCUUUACAUCUCACGCCUAGUUACUACAAAAUCUUAGUAAAAAAGGAUUAUCUCUACUAAACUAGGAGAAUGAUUUAUUUAUUUAUUUUUUAAUAAUUCCGCUCAACUAAUUUUUUAAAGCCGGUCAACAAUGCAAGCAAGCCUUCCAAAUGAUAUAACAAGUAGCACAUAAGUGAACAUGAUGGUCUCAAAGAGGAUACUUGUCUUAUACGGAUCCGACCCCUAUGCCGAGUUUCGCUAAGUCAAAUGCAUGUGAUGCAAAUAAAGUGAACCUACUAGGGAUAUUCGGCAUGAGGUUUGUUCUUCUAUGUUUAAAUCCUAUUGGAGAAGGUAUCUAGACUGGCUUACACGAUCUGACAACUCGAGCCGAGGAGGGUCAGCGUACCGGUAGUAUUGCUUUUCGGCUUAGCUGGUGGUGCUCCCCGCCUAAAACAUAUGUGACUAAAAAUCCUUCAUCGGGUGACAAGCACCUCAGCUAUCUCAAAGAAACUAGGCUAUGUCAAGCAAAUGCCCAAUUUUUAUUUUCAAGAAGACUUAGAAGGGACGCAUGAGAAGACAGUUUAUAUGUACAGUUUAACAAUAUCAAAGCGGUAAAAAGCUAACAGGUAGCACAUUAGACACAAAUAAAUCGCAAUAUAUACAAAAUUAAUAAAGCUAAGUAAAAAGUUCAACAUGUGCAAGCUCGAAUUCUGGUUAGGUCCCCAGCAGAGUCGCCAGAGUUGUCACACCCUUUUUUCUACCCCCGAAAAGACACGUGUUAUGUCAUGGAUUGUGGGUUAAAGAGUUUUUCCAAUCGAAGUGACAAAUUUGAGUAGGGAUUAUUUUAUUUACAAUGUCGCCACUUGGAAUUGAUUUUUUGGGUGUUCCAAGUCACCUUUUAUUUGAAUCCCUAUUCAAAGGAAGAUUUGACUCUUUUAUCACUGGCAUGCGAAAAUAAAGUCCGGGUAAGAAAUUCUGUUGACCGGGGAGAAGGUGUAAGACAUUCCCCGAGUCCCGUGGUUCUAGCACGAUCGCUUUAUUGACUACAACUUGGCUUGAGUUAAUUUUGGAUAAACUGUGAUUUAUUGGUUUCUAUGUUUUAUCUAUACGCUUUUAAUUAUUAAUAUAUGAAAUUAGCUUUGAAACAAAUCACGUGUGUAAAUCCGCUUUAUUUAUUGUGCCAAAAUUAUGUCACGCUUACGUGUACACAAUUAAUAGUAUUUUUAUUAUAUUAAGAUUGUUUUGGCCAAAGUUGCACGAACACAUACUUCGGUUUUAAUUUUUAAAAUUAUAAUUAUGCCACACGAACGUAUAAAUAACCGCGAUAAACUAAUUAAAAGCACGCCUAAAAUACUCUAUUGGUAUUCAAAAGUUAUUUUCCUGAACUACUUUGAGUUUUGUUACGAGGUCAUUGUUUAGGGAUAUUAUUAAUUCAAAUUAACUAUCAAAAGUUUACUGCCUACUAAACUUUUUUCUACGCCAACUAUACCAAACAACAACUUAUCCAAUUUAACAAAUAUUUCUUAAACAUAAUAAAAUGGUCUAAGCACUCGAGUACUCCAAUUGCCAAUUAACCCAGAAACCAAACUCAAUGGCUAUAUCCAAACAAAUAGUAAGGAGACAAACUCCAUGAAUUUCACAAUACAAAAAGCACGUGUUCAUAAGCAUGGCAGUAAAUCAAACAAAAAUGGAAAGAAUAAACCUCCAACCAAUUUACUUAACUUUUACAUACAUUUAUCAAAUAGCCAUUCAUGCUCCUUUCACGUCCUUUUAUAUCCAUGCCACACAGUAGCUUUAUUGAUUCAAGUAAGUAAGGUAUAAACAGCUACUGAUCAAACAGUAAUUAAGGCCAAAUUAAACCAGAAACCAUGGCUCUUGAAGUACUACGUUGGAAAUUAUUGAGUUUAAACAAAUUUUCCAUUUCAGAAAAGGGCCAAAUAAGCAAAAUCAAGGUAAUAGACCCAAUUCUCUUGUAGCAUAAAUCCAAAUCUCUCUUUGUUUUUUAGCUUAAACAAACAAAAGCGUCAUAUCUCAAUCUACUAAUGAAACUAGACAAGCUUAAUACUAAUAAAUAAUUCAUCUCAAUAAAUAAAUAACUGAAACAUGACAAAGCUCAUGAGAGCUAAAUAGAUAACGUGAAGAUUCAAAAAAGAUUUGCUAAGAAAAACUUCUAUAUUUGAAGGAUGAGUGCAAAAAAGAAGUAAUAGGUGAGUAACGGACCUUUGGUAUAAAUCAACCAGAUUGGAAUUACAAGAGGUUAAACAACUCGACAAUUCUUGACCAGAGCUUUCGCCGGUGAACCUGGACGGAAUCGGCAACUCGAGACCUCAACGGAAACCUCAACCUCCACUUCGAUGCCACUAUUUACGCUCAAUACGGGGAUGUUCAGAGGGUAUGCUUAGCUGGGAAGAAGGCCGUUUUUGGGUGGUUUUGGAGUGGAGAGGAAAGCUGGGUUUAGAGGCCCUUUUUGCUGGUGGUUAGUGGCUAACUUUAAUGGAUAUUAACAUGAGUUUUGGGGCUGGUUUGAGCUCGAAUUUUGGCUGGGGUUUUGAUGGUGUUUAUUGGCUUAAACUGGGCGACAUUUUGGGGCUGGUUUAGGAGCUUUACGUGGUAGUAUUAAUGGAGGCUUGUUGAUGGAGUUUGGUGAAGGAAAAAAAGAGCUUUUAUUUGUUGCCUAAUAAUGGAGAAGCAGACCAGAAAGAAGAUGACAAUUAUUUGGGCGCUCAUCCCCCCUUUUUCUUUCUUUUUUUAGGGGGAGAUUCGUGUAUUUUUUUGAAGGAGG
RNAcentral lists this long non-coding RNA (19930 nucleotides) under Nicotiana tabacum (common tobacco). RNAcentral describes it as "long non-coding RNA (NTAB_LNC012401)". Lineage: Eukaryota; Viridiplantae; Streptophyta; Magnoliopsida; Solanales; Solanaceae. The record is from RNAcentral.